GGCCUGUCUCAGUUAAGCGAUGUCAUCAGUUCUCAUUAGCCUCUUCAUAGUCUCUUGAAAAGCAUAAAGAAAAUUACCUCUGGCACAGAAAAGGCUUUUAAACCAACCUUUUCACAGUAUGUCUCAAACUGAACAUCCACUUAAGUGUAUAAUUACAAAAAAGAAAGGGUAUGCUAGAUAUGUUGACACAGGAUCUCUAAAUGUAGCUGAAGGAGUUACUAUUAUCUUCAAAGGCAAAACAUCUUUCUUAGGCUUACAAGACAAACUAUGUAGUGGAGUAGACAGGAAAGCAAAUCACUAAGAGAUUAUCUCCCUCUAAGUCUUCUUUCUCUUUUUCUUUUCUUUUUUCUUUC
RNAcentral lists this long non-coding RNA (353 nucleotides) under Homo sapiens (human). RNAcentral's name for it is "non-protein coding lnc-GALNT16-4:1". Lineage: Eukaryota; Metazoa; Chordata; Mammalia; Primates; Hominidae. The record is from RNAcentral.